This 339-nucleotide ribosomal RNA is filed under the name Escherichia coli. RNAcentral's name for it is "partial 23S ribosomal RNA". It matches the Rfam family "Bacterial large subunit ribosomal RNA", at positions 1555 to 1875 of the family's 2925-position model. The record is from RNAcentral. Lineage: Bacteria; Pseudomonadati; Pseudomonadota; Gammaproteobacteria; Enterobacterales; Enterobacteriaceae.
GCUGAGGCGUGAUGACGAGGCACUACGGUGCUGAAGCGACAAAUGCCCUGCUUCCAGGAAAAGCCUCUAAGCAUCAGGUAACAUCAAAUCGUACCCCAAACCGACACAGGUGGUCAGGUAGAGAAUACCAAGGCGCUUGAGAGAACUCGGGUGAAGGAACUAGGCAAAAUGGUGCCGUAACUUCGGGAGAAGGCACGCUGAUAUGUAGGUGAAGCGACUUGCUCGUGGAGCUGAAAUCAGUCGAAGAUACCAGCUGGCUGCAACUGUUUAUUAAAAACACAGCACUGUGCAAACACGAAAGUGGACGUAUACGGUGUGACGCCUGCCCGGUGCCGGAAG